This 153-nucleotide non-coding RNA is filed under the name human gut metagenome. Its description in RNAcentral is "Lysine riboswitch". It matches the Rfam family "Lysine riboswitch aptamer". Rfam says of the family: Riboswitches are metabolite binding domains within certain messenger RNAs that serve as precision sensors for their corresponding targets. The record is from RNAcentral.
UGAUAGAGGCGCGAUCGUCAUCAGUAGCUUUGUCAAAACGCAGGGAAGCGUGAAGCGAAAGGGGCUGUCGCCGAAGGACCCGAUCCUCCCGAGGUCGGACACCUGGGAUGCAGGAGAACAUUCUGCAUACUGUCGCUAACGCGGAGAGCUGUC